RNAcentral lists this ribosomal RNA (253 nucleotides) under uncultured bacterium. Its description in RNAcentral is "partial 16S ribosomal RNA". It matches the Rfam family "Bacterial small subunit ribosomal RNA", at positions 524 to 776 of the family's 1533-position model. The record is from RNAcentral.
UACGUAGGGUGCAAGCGUUAAUCGGAAUUACUGGGCGUAAAGCGUGCGCAGGCGGUUUUGUAAGUCUGUCGUGAAAUCCCCGGGCUUAACCUGGGAAUGGCGAUGGAGACUGCAAGGCUAGAAUCUGGCAGAGGGGGGUAGAAUUCCACGUGUAGCAGUGAAAUGCGUAGAGAUGUGGAGGAAUACCGAUGGCGAAGGCAGCCCCCUGGGAUAACACUGACGCUCAUGUACGAAAGCGUGGGUAGCAAACAGG